This 365-nucleotide ribosomal RNA is filed under the name Bufo bufo (common toad). Its description in RNAcentral is "partial 12S ribosomal RNA". It matches the Rfam family "Bacterial small subunit ribosomal RNA", at positions 870 to 1403 of the family's 1533-position model. Lineage: Eukaryota; Metazoa; Chordata; Amphibia; Anura; Bufonidae. The record is from RNAcentral.
CGCCAGGGAACUACGAGCCAAGCUUAAAACCCAAAGGACUUGACGGUACCCCACAUCCCCCUAGAGGAGCCUGUCCUAUAAUCGAUAAUCCACGUUUAACCUCACCAUUUUUAGUUAGUCAGCCUGUAUACCUCCGUCGUCAGCUUACCACGUGAGCGCCAAUUAGUGAGCCCAAUGUUUAUUCACCAACACGUCAGGUCAAGGUGCAGCAAAUGAAGUGGAAAGAGAUGGGCUACACUUUCUAUUUUAGAAGAAACGAAAAACUAUCUAUGAAAUCUAGUUAGAAGGCGGAUUUAGCAGUAAAAAGGAAUCAGCACGUCCAUUUUAACCCGGCACUGGGGUGUGUACACACCGCCCGUCACCCU